GACGAACGCUGGCGGCGUGCUUAGCACAUGCAAGUCGAACGGAAAGGCCUCUUUCGGGGGGUACUCGAGUGGCGAACGGGUGAGUAACACGUGAGUAACCUGCCCUUGACUUUGGGAUAACUUCAGGAAACUGGGGCUAAUACCGGAUAGGAGCUCCUGCUGCAUGGUGGGGGUUGGAAAGUUUCGGCGGUUGGGGAUGGACUCGCGGCUUAUCAGCUUGUUGGUGGGGUAGUGGCUUACCAAGGCUUUGACGGGUAGCCGGCCUGAGAGGGUGACCGGCCACAUUGGGACUGAGAUACGGCCCAGACUCCUACGGGAGGCAGCAGGGGGGAAUAUUGCACAAUGGGUGGAAGCCGGAUGCAGCAACGCCGUGGGCGGGAGGACGGCCUUCGGGUUGUAAACCGCUUUCGCUCAUGACGAAGCUUUGUGUGACGGUAGUGGGUAAAGAAGCACCGGCUAACUACGUG
RNAcentral lists this ribosomal RNA (467 nucleotides) under uncultured bacterium. RNAcentral's name for it is "partial 16S ribosomal RNA". It matches the Rfam family "Bacterial small subunit ribosomal RNA", at positions 28 to 507 of the family's 1533-position model. The record is from RNAcentral.